AGUAAUGCAUAGGAAUCUACCCAGUAGUGGGGGAUAACGUGGAGAAAUCCACGCUAAUACCGCAUAUGUCCUACGGGACAAAGCAGGGGACCUUCGGGCCUUGCGCUAUUGGAUGAGCCUAUGUCGGAUUAGCUAGUUGGUAGGGUAAAAGCCUACCAAGGCAACGAUCCGUAGCUGGUCUGAGAGGAUGAUCAGCCACACUGGGACUGAGACACGGCCCAG
RNAcentral lists this ribosomal RNA (222 nucleotides) under uncultured bacterium. RNAcentral describes it as "partial 16S ribosomal RNA". It matches the Rfam family "Bacterial small subunit ribosomal RNA", at positions 109 to 334 of the family's 1533-position model. The record is from RNAcentral.